ACAGCAGUAGCCGCGGUAAUACGAAGGGUGCAAGCGUUAAUAGGAAUUACUGGGCGUAAAGGGUGCGUAGGCGGUUGUUUAAGUCUGUUGUGAAAUCCCCGGGCUCAACCUGGGAAUGGCAGUGGAUACUGGCAAGCUAGAGUGUGUCAGAGGAUGGUGGAAUUCCCGGUGUAGCGGUGAAAUGCGUAGAGAUCGGGAGGAACAUCAGUGGCGAAGGCGGCCAUCUGGGACAACACUGACGCUGAGGCACGAAAGCGUGGGGAGCAAACAGGAUUAGAUACCCGCGUAGUCCCUGUCUCUUAUAC
RNAcentral lists this ribosomal RNA (305 nucleotides) under uncultured bacterium. Its description in RNAcentral is "partial 16S ribosomal RNA". It matches the Rfam family "Bacterial small subunit ribosomal RNA", at positions 508 to 807 of the family's 1533-position model. The record is from RNAcentral.